Molecule: ribosomal RNA, 433 nt
Filed under: uncultured bacterium
Lineage: Bacteria
Description: partial 16S ribosomal RNA
Rfam family: Bacterial small subunit ribosomal RNA
Source: RNAcentral
AGCGAACGCUGGCGGCAGGCCUAACACAUGCAAGUCGAACGAACUCUUCGGAGUUAGUGGCGGACGGGUGAGUAACACGUGGGAACGUGCCGUUAGGUUCGGAAUAACUCAGGGAAACUUGUGCUAAUACCGAAUGUGCCCUUCGGGGGAAAGAUUUAUCGCCUUUAGAUCGGCCCGCGUCUGAUUAGCUAGUUGGUGAGGUAAAGGCUCACCAAGGCGACGAUCAGUAGCUGGUCUGAGAGGAUGAUCAGCCACAUUGGGACUGAGACACGGACCAAACUCCUACGGGAGGCAGCAGUGGGGAAUCUUGCGCAAUGGGCGAAAGUCUGACGCAGCCAUGCCGCGUGAAUGAUGAAGGUCUUAGGAUUGUAAAAUUCUUUCAACGGGGACGAUAAUGACGGUACCCGGAGAAGAAGCCCCGGCUAACUUCGUG